GACGAACGCUGGCGGCGUGCUUAACACAUGCAAGUCGAACGGAAAGGCCCUGCUUUUGUGGGGUGCUCGAGUGGCGAACGGGUGAGUAACACGUGAGUAACCUGCCCUUGACUUUGGGAUAACUUCAGGAAACUGGGGCUAAUACCGGAUAGGAGCUCCUGCUGCAUGGUGGGGGUUGGAAAGUUUCGGCGGUUGGGGAUGGACUCGCGGCUUAUCAGCUUGUUGGUGGGGUAGUGGCUUACCAAGGCUUUGACGGGUAGCCGGCCUGAGAGGGUGACCGGCCACAUUGGGACUGAUAUACGGCCCAGCCUCCUACGGGAGGCAGCAGUGGGGAAUAUUGCACAAUGGGCGGAAGCCUGAUGCAGCAACGCCGCGUGCGGGAUGACGGCCUUCGGGUUGUAAACCGCUUUCGCCUGUGACGAAGCGUGAGUGACGGUAAUGGGUAAAGAAGCACCGGCUAACUACGUG
This 468-nucleotide ribosomal RNA is filed under the name uncultured bacterium. RNAcentral's name for it is "partial 16S ribosomal RNA". It matches the Rfam family "Bacterial small subunit ribosomal RNA", at positions 28 to 507 of the family's 1533-position model. The record is from RNAcentral.